UUUGAAUCUUUUGGGGUGUCUUUGACUGUCUCAUCAUUGAUGUUAGUCUGGUAGUUGCUUUACCCGGGACCAGUUCGGGCUGUGCCAUCCAUCAGCAGGAAGAACGGCAGAGAAUAACAGAGCUUCUGCUGCCUCGUGUAAAGGGGGCCUGCCUGAAAUUCCCUUAACCAUCCGUCACUCACAGGCUCAUUUUUCAGGGAAACAGGAACUCACUACAAAUGAAGGCUGAUACAGAAAAGCUUCUCACAGAAACUAAAUAAUGUAACAUAUUCCAGGUUCUGGGCAGAUAAAAAUUGAAAAGGCUGUGGUGCUUGUGGAAGUGGAAUGAUAGCGACAAGCGCCAUGUGAAAUCCCUGAAGGUGGUGUCAGGGGACACGCUCCCCCAUAAAAUUAUGAAAGAAUCUGAUGUAAUGGUGCAUUGUGAGACAAUCUGAGCAUAAAUACCACAUUCUUUCCCAUUAAUGAUUGACUUUCAUUGUGCCAAGAUUUUUUUUAAAAAAAGAAUGUAGAUUUUGAGCACACUGAGAACAGGAAUUUCCAUUGUGAUAGUGCUGCAGUAAGAUUUAAAGAUUGUGGGGAACUAAGAAUUGAAAUGCAAAUCACUCUCACAUACAACCUCCUGCUGAGGCCCAAAUUUUUACAGAUCAGGUUCUGCAGCCCUGAUGGGGAAUCAGUGAUCUGCCUUUCCUAGGAUUCACAAAUUAGUAGUAGUCUAAGGUAUCAUUUUCUACAAUAUAAUUGUAACUUACCAGAUGAAAGUUUGCCACUGAAGGCAGUCCUCUGAUCGUCCAUUAUUUUUCCAGCUGCAUUGCCACUGAGGAUUCUUUCACAGACAAUGCAAAUAUACACAUCACAGCCUCCCUCUCUGAAACAUGCACUUCUUGAAUAUAAACACGUUGUGAAUAUUGUUUCCUUCUUCCUUUCUCCCUUGCUUUUUUUUUUUUUUUUUUGGAUAUGCAGGUGGUAAAAUACUGGCUGCCAUGAACUUCAUGUAAGAAAUAAAAAUUACCCACUUUUGGGGGCUGCUUGAUAGAAAACUGCCAGCUCGUAGCAUCGCUGCUGCUGUAAUCACUGCAAGGAUAAUAGGACAUACAUGCUUUUGUGGAUAAUUUUGUUUGCUAAUUGCUCAUGAAAUUUCAGGGAUUGUUUUAGGUCUUUGUGACAUGAUUGACACUGAGCUGAGAAGGAGGACAUGCACACUUCCGUCUAAUAAUGUGUGACAGGAGAGACGCAAAGAAGACAGGAAGAAGGGGAUAAAGCUGUGGACAGGGUGUCAAAAAUGUCCAAGUGCUUCCAGAACGUGGUUUUGUGUAUCUGCAACAAUGACAAUGCAUGUAAAAGUGGAAUCUCAUCCAUUUGUUGGGCUGGCUGCCAGACUAGCAGCACAAACAUGUGGCUGGGGAAAAGAUCCUGUUAAUAUUCAUCUGAUAACUGACUUGUUGAGAGAGUGGGAAAAUUAGGCUAUAUUCUUUUAGGACAGUUAAACCACAUGUGCCUAAAACUCAAGGAAGACCGGUAAACAAUGAGAGAGGACAUACUUCUCCCCAUAUCCCCCCCACACAUUCACACACAACCUAUGACAGUUUUGGGGGCUUCUGAUUUUCAUAAAGUGUUAUCUGCUGAAAAAUAAUUUCUACAGCUGAGCUACCUCUCUGACUCCUGGACCUUUGCUCUCUGCAGCUUUAUUGUCAAGGCAUUCAGAUACCAUAGAGAUGAAGAAUGUAGAUAGACUCACAGUCCAUGGAUCUAUUGACGGCACUGUUCCCUCUAAGCUGUGCGCAUGGGCACGUGCACACAGAUCCUAAAUCCUGCGCACAUGGCGAAACACCCCGCGCACAAAAAUUUGCACAGAAGUACAACAAUUUGCGCAGAAGAAAUUUUUUGCGCACACGGCCUGUCAAAAAUUAGAGGGACCAUUGAUUGAUGGACAACCACUUUAAACAGGAAAAAAGGGGGGAGGGUAGAUAUGCCAUGUUAAAGAUACAUAAGUAAAAAAGAUAAAAACUCAUGGAUGUACUUGAAAUUCCACCAUCCUUGGCUGUUUGGAAGAGGGAUGGAUAGCCAUAACCUAGAUUGUAGCUUAUUUGGGGCAAGAGAAUGUGUUUCCUAGUUUCCAGUCAAUGGGUAAGUCACUUGAAAUAAUAAUAAGCAUCAUGUGUAAAUAAUAACAAUAAUAAUAACACCCAGCCUGACAACAGACUUCUUCCAGGCCAGUCUGAUGCUACUCUAAAACCAACCACAACAUAGAGUGAAAAUAAAAAUACUAUGCACAUACAAUAGCUACUUAUAAUGAUCUCAAAGGAUUUUACAAGCAUUAAUUAAUCUACCCAACCAAAACGUUAUACAGCAGGUGGGUAUCAUUGUGUCCAUUUUAUUGAUGGGAACAGACACCUUAAGGUUAUAUACAGUUAGCCAGGUACAAUGCCUAACCUCAGGCUUUAGACCAAUGAGUGAAAGGAGAUAAGGGGGCUCACUUUGAUCCUGAGGACUGUGUCCAAAAUCUCGGGAUUUUUUGGUGGUACUGUAACAGAGUGUCACAGUGUACCACUUCCUGAGGUUUUGCAACAGGAAGGGUGAUGCUGAAUAGAAAAGAAGAGCAACAGCAAAAUGAAUCCUAUCUUGCAGAUUGCAAAGAAGAUUCUUGUUGAAUGUUUGCACCCCUUCAUUACUCAAAUUCACCUGAGGCAAGAGAGAAUGUUGUUUUCCUGAUUUUAAAUAAAUCAUGGCAAGUCCAAUGCAGUGCAGUGCUGAGCUCCUUCAACACCCACUGGAGAGCACUUGGUAUUUUGCAAGAUCAAUCCUUUGAUGUUAAUUGUUUUUUUUUAUGACCCCCUCCCACUGACCACCACCACCACCAAAAUUCUAGAAAGGAUUCCAUGAAGGGGGGAAGGGUCGUAAUUCAGAGGCAGAGCAGAGACUACAACCCAGGAGUUUAGGCUACCAGCCCCCUGCUGUAACUGAUAAAUGAUGCUUGUUAAGAGUAAACAAAACUGGGGGAUGCAGAAUAGAAGUAUGUUCAUACAUCUGCCAUCCUAGUAAUUCUGCAGGCAUACUUUUACUGUUCAAUGCACUCUAUGUUUGUUUGAAGAAACAAUGAGUUUCAGAAAAGAGAAAAAUAAGAACUUUAAGGAUAACCAGAACCCUGACUACAUACUUUACCAUAGGCAAUGUAGAAUAAGCUUCUGUACUCUUUAUUUUUAACACUUCAGAUAUGUAAUUUAAUGUGGGUCUAAUGACAGUCUUGAACAUACAGCUUUAAUUGAACUUGUACAAGCUCUGGACUGUGACAAGAACUCACAAGCUACCAGCGGGGCUGUCCAUUUUCCCUGCCUCUGCAAGGAAAAGAAAAGGAGGAAAAAAGAAAAAAAAACCCUCUUGAACUUAUGUUGCUAUUGAUGUGUAAUAUACAAUAAAAAAACAGUUAAAUUUCAAUUACCCACAGGUAAUUAUAAUUUUAUUGUUUGACUAUAGUAGGGG
This is a long non-coding RNA of Chelonia mydas (Green sea turtle), 3477 nucleotides long. RefSeq lists it as uncharacterized. The transcript has 3 exons. The record is from RefSeq and is a predicted model, not a curated record. NCBI's taxonomy places the organism in Eukaryota, Metazoa, Chordata, Testudines, Cheloniidae.